CUCGAUUCUACUCCUCCAGGUUGCAGGCAGAGCCAAAUACACUGAGAGGCUUAACAUUCCAGAUUAAUUCUUCCCUCCAGUGGUUUGCAAAAGCUGUGAGUUUGAAAAGAAACAAACUCAAACUUUGAGAGUAAGAGUAGGGAAGUGGGAGAUGGUACUGUUUCAGACAAGGGUGGGGUUGGUGGACAUUUCGCAACAAAGCCCCAGUGGCACAGGCUGUAUUUGGGCUUUCCUGCUGCAUUGAGAGGUCAGCAAGAUUGCCUUGGCUGGGAACCAAACUCAUCCUGGUUUCCUGUCUUGGGAUCUCAAGGGGCUAGAAUGAGCUGCUAUUCCAAGGGAGAGAAGAAAGCAACCCCAGGAAGCCUGGCCCCGAAGACUGUGAGGAAACAAAGCCAACAGGAUCUGCACCACCUCUGCCUCCCGGACAUUGGAAGGACUAAAUAAGAUCAGAGACCUCAUUCCUAGAUGGAACGAGGAAUGGUAGCGACCACGAUCCUCCCCUCCCAGGAUCUGCGCCACAAGGGAAGAUCAGAACCUUCAGCUGCCAGAAGCACUGUGGCGGAAAUGUAGGUCCCCAUCCAGGCUGAUCUGAGCUUGGCUUUCUGGAGCACGCAAACCUCGAUGCACUGAACUGCUGCCGGACCUCACCUUGCCAGGCCCACUGUGCUCACACUCACACAUCGCUCCAUCCACUGGAGGCUGCAGAGGCAAGAUCCACCAAGAAGAUGGUCUUCCUGUCCAGGAUGCCCUUCCCUGAGAGAAGUGUAUUUAAUCUUAAAUUCAGAUGUUUGUUUGUCUACCCACUUAAAACACCCUGUUGAAUAAAAAUUACUCAAGGAACACAUGGAGGCUUUGUCCAUGUAAAAG
Molecule: long non-coding RNA, 867 nt
Filed under: Homo sapiens (human)
Lineage: Eukaryota; Metazoa; Chordata; Mammalia; Primates; Hominidae
Description: HSALNT0023603
Source: RNAcentral